UUUGAUCCUGGCUCAGGAUGAACGCUAGCGGGAGGCCUAACACAUGCAAGCCGAGCGGUAGAGAUUCUUCGGAAUCUUGAGAGCGGCGCACGGGUGCGGAACACGUGUGCAACCUGCCUUUAUCUGGGGGAUAGCCUUUCGAAAGGAAGAUUAAUACCCCAUAAUAUGUUGGAUGGCAUCAUUCGACAUUGAAAACUCCGGUGGAUAGAGAUGGGCACGCGCAGGAUUAGAUAGUUGGUGAGGUAACGGCUCACCAAGUCAACGAUCCUUAGGGGGCCUGAGAGGGUGAUCCCCCACACUGGUACUGAGACACGGACCAGACUCCUACGGGAGGCAGCAGUGAGGAAUAUUGGACAAUGGGUGAGAGCCUGAUCCAGCCAUCCCGCGUGAAGGACGACGGCCCUAUGGGUUGUAAACUUCUUUUGUAUAGGGAUAAACCUACUCUCGUGAGAGUAGCUGAAGGUACUAUACGAAUAAGCACCGGCUAACUCCGUGCCAGCAGCCGCGGUAAU
This 512-nucleotide ribosomal RNA is filed under the name uncultured bacterium. RNAcentral's name for it is "bacterial SSU rRNA". It matches the Rfam family "Bacterial small subunit ribosomal RNA", at positions 12 to 524 of the family's 1533-position model. The record is from RNAcentral.